RNAcentral lists this ribosomal RNA (197 nucleotides) under Butyrivibrio fibrisolvens. RNAcentral describes it as "partial 16S ribosomal RNA". It matches the Rfam family "Bacterial small subunit ribosomal RNA", at positions 52 to 230 of the family's 1533-position model. Lineage: Bacteria; Bacillati; Bacillota; Clostridia; Lachnospirales; Lachnospiraceae. The record is from RNAcentral.
CACAUGCAAGUCGAACGAAGCAAUUUWYUACGAUCCCUUCGGGGUGACGGUUUAUUGACUGAGUGGCGGACGGGUGAGUAACGCGUGGGUAACCUGCCUUGUACAGGGGGACAACAGUUGGAAACGACUGCUAAUACCGCAUAAGNGAACAGCUUCGCAUGAAGCAGUGUGAAAAGUUAUUUCGGUACAAGAUGGAC